Molecule: ribosomal RNA, 380 nt
Filed under: uncultured eukaryote
Lineage: Eukaryota
Description: partial 18S ribosomal RNA
Rfam family: Eukaryotic small subunit ribosomal RNA
Source: RNAcentral
CAAUAGCGUAUAUUAAAGUUGUUGCAGUUAAAAAGCUCGUAGUCGGAUUUUGGCAUCACGCCGAACUGUCUGCCGAUUGGUAAGUACGGUUUGGCGGGUGCUUUUUUCUUGAAGCUCGUUCCCUUCUUAACUGAAGGGUUCGUUGGUUCAGGUUCUUUUACUUUGAGAAAAUUAGAGUGUUCAAAGCAGGCCUAUGCUCUGAAUAGGUUAGCAUGGAAUAAUAGAAUAGGACUUUGGUUCUAUUUUGUUGGUUUCUAGGACCGAAGUAAUGAUUAAUAGGGACAGUUGGGGGCAUUCAUAUUCCAUUGUCAGAGGUGAAAUUCUUGGAUUAACGGAAGAUGAACUUCUGCGAAAGCAUCUGCCAAGGAUGUUUUCAUUGA